RNAcentral lists this long non-coding RNA (836 nucleotides) under Fragaria vesca (wild strawberry). RNAcentral describes it as "long non-coding RNA (FVES_LNC004290)". The record is from RNAcentral. Lineage: Eukaryota; Viridiplantae; Streptophyta; Magnoliopsida; Rosales; Rosaceae.
AACCAAAUCACAUCACAUAAGCAUUCUCCAACAUUUUCAAAACCAGAACAAGAUAUAUACUUAAGAAACUGCUAUUCAAUAAAUGGUAUAAAUAGAAGUAUAACAGAAAUCCAGAAAGAAUAGCUAUAAUAUGUACAACACAAGACUUCCUUAAGAAUAACUAGAAUUCAGUUUGAAAAGUACUUGCUAUUGAAAAGUACCUGCUCAGUAUUAUGAAAUAGAACACCACCAACAAACACAGCAACCUGAAAAGUUCCUUUGGUCUCAGGUGCAGAGGUAUUAACACCACUAGCAAGCACAAUAACCUGAAAAGGUAAACAACAGAAAUAAUCAUAGUUAUCACCAGAUGCCUUUCAGGUUGAUACUUUACUGAUAAUUGUAUUGAUAGUUAUAUUGAUAGAAAAUUGUAUUAGCUAUAACCUGCAAAUCUCAUAGUUAUACUGAUAAAAAAUUGUAUUAGCUAUAACCUGCAAAUCUCAUAGUUAUACUGAUAAAAAAUUGUAGGAUUAAUUUCAGUUUACCCCCAUCAACUUUAGGUCGAUCAUCAUGUUAGUCAUUCUUCUUUCAAUUUCAUCAAAAACACCCAUCAACUCCCAAUUUUCAUCAGCCGCGCAUGUUCAAACCUCCAAUCUCCAUCCAAUUCCUCUAUCAAGUGAUGACUUGAUAUCAAGAAGAAAGAAAAAAAGAAAAAUAGACAAAUUGCAUUCAAUCCCACCAAAAUCACUAAGGUUAGGGGGUUGUGAUGGGAACGAAGAUGUGUAUCGAUAUGGGGGAAAACUGGUUCGAAAGGUAACUUUCAUAAUUUGACUUUCUUCUUGAUAUCAAAUCAUCACUUG